RNAcentral lists this non-coding RNA (32 nucleotides) under Homo sapiens (human). Lineage: Eukaryota; Metazoa; Chordata; Mammalia; Primates; Hominidae. The record is from RNAcentral.
GGAACAGGUGGUGUUUGGUUACAUGAACAAGU